UUUAUAAUAAAAAUAAUCCGUAUUUCUUUUAAUAUUAUAUUUUCGUAAUUUGAUUUUCGGUUAAAAACGUCGGUUCUGCCGUUUUUCGUUAUUUUCCGGUUAAUAAUCCUAAAAUGGAAUUUUAAUAGGAAUUUCAAUUAUUUAAUUUAUCGUUUAUUUAAUAUUUUAUUAAUGAUUAAAUUGGUUAAAUUUUUGUAAUCCGUAUAAAUUAAUAUUUUAUAUCUAAUUUCGACUAAUUAUAAUUUCCAUUUUUAAAAUAUUCGAAUAAUAGCCAUUAAUUUUUUAUUAUAAAUUUUGUAAUUAAAUUUUAAUUUAUAUAAUUUUUAUAAAAAAACGCAAAAAUCCAUUUGUUUUUUUUUGUUUCGGUAAUUAAAUUAUUUUCCAAUUAUAUCAUUUAAUACGUCGGUUUUAAUUUCGAAAUUGUUUUUGGAUUUGGUAUUUUAAAAAUGGGUUUUUUGGUUAUUGCAUCCCGUAAUUAUUUAAAAAUCUAUUAUAUUUAUUCCGUCCAUUAAAAUUUUAGGUUUUUUUUAUUUAUAUUAGUUAAUAAAAUGGCGAUCGCGCCGUAUUUUUCAAUUAAUUCUUUAUAAAAAUCUACAAAUCCGAAAAAUAUUCGAACGUUUUUUAUAUUUUGCGGUUGGGGUUAUUUUUUUAUUAUUUGGAUUUUUGAUUUCUCCAUUUUAACUUUUCCAAAAACAAUAA
Molecule: small RNA, 699 nt
Filed under: Pyricularia oryzae
Lineage: Eukaryota; Fungi; Ascomycota; Sordariomycetes; Magnaporthales; Pyriculariaceae
Description: Magnaporthe oryzae sRNA M_BR32_EuGene_00101441
Source: RNAcentral